GGAGCGCGGUUCCUCGGGGCGGAGCGGGAAGCGGCAGCCGGCGGGGCCCCCCGGAGCUGCCCCAGCGCCGAGCAACGGGGCCCGGAGCCGGGUUCUGCCCGUCGGCAUUAUCAAAGUGAGUGCGUAAGCUUAACCUGUGGUGAGCAUACAGCGUGCAACCCGAAAGUGAAACCAGAACUGAGAUUUCACCCGUAACAUCCAGCAGCAAAACACCCUAAGUGGGGCUCCGGUUGUAGGUGCUGUGGUGCCUCAGUGCCCAGGGAUGCCUUUGUCUUCAUCUUCACUUUCUUCCUUCAAGGAUCGAAUGAGCAACUCGCAUUCUUGGAGGUAAAGUCCAAGUUCUAAUUCCUGCCUCACCUGCUGAUCAUCAGGUGGACUGCUGAGGCUCGAGCUCAGGAGCAACCCGUAUUGAAAAGUCUGCAUCCAAAAGGAUGGCCGCUCUUGCCUCUGGUUCUAAAAACUGUACGUAAUGACUCAGCUCUCACUAGAGCCAUAGUGCUGCAUCCAGUUUCCCUGCUGGUGGAAGCUCCAGUAGAACCUUCUCAUCCCCAGAGAAGCACAUGAGAGAAGUCCUAGCUGUCCUAGGAACUCCUUGCUGUAAUGAACUGCAUCCCCAAAGCCUCCCGCAUGCAAGCACCUCUGCAGCACUGAAGCGGUGAAUGAUGGCAUCAGAAGGCAAUAUGGAGAACGCAGUGGCCAGUUUCGUGUGGGACACACCUGAGCAACUGGGAGCUGAUGCUCCACCAAAACUCAAGAUGGAACUCAGCAAGAUCCAGCCCACAGGGGGUACAAGCACAGCACGACGGAGCUGUCACUAGCAGCACUUGUCAGCCUGCUGUACAGCUAUUACGGGCAGCCCUGCUACGUGGAGGGAACAGCAGACAUGCAGUGGUGUUGGUGCAUCAGGCUCAUGACCUCCUAGGGGGCAAUGUUCGGUGAGUAGAGCAGUGCCUUCCUGUUCCAAGAAGUCUAGAUGGCUGGGACUGUGAAGGAGCUCCAAGGAGGCUUUCCAAGUUCUAAGGAGCACACCAUUUUGCAGAGCACCCAAGAGAGAACAUGGGAGCGCUACAAACUGAUGGCAAAGUGGGACAUCACAGCCAACUGCUGCCUGUGUAAGGAGCUGACAAGAAACAAUCCCUCCCUCUCCAUCUGAUAGGCAGUUGGAAGAGACUUUUAGAUGUCGUCCAGUCCACCUCCCCUGCAGUGAACAGGAUCAUCUACAGCUGGAUCAGGUUGACCCGGGCCUGAUCUUAGAGAUCUUCUAUGUUACAGACUCUGUGAUUGGUACAACUCUAAGACUCACGCUCCCCUCUGUGUCUCUCCAGAGGUGUGAACUCAAGAGACAGCCGCACUCAAGGGAAAUCCUGUCAAUGAACCUGCUGCCGUGCAGGAGAGCUCGAGGGGCAGUUGGGCUGUCUGGCAUCUUUGAGGCCAAGACGCGUUUGUGACCAUUAAUCUGCUUUCACUAGAACACCAUCAAUACUGUUGCUCACUGUCUUUGUGGGCUAGGCCUAAUGUCCAAGGCCAGGACAAAGGAGGACAUUCAAAGGAAGAAAGCAAGUGUGGAGAGCAUGCUGGCUGUGCUGGGAAGAAAAUCUAGUAAGACCAGUGUUCCCAGUCAGAGUGCCAGGUGGCUUUUACCCCCAGGCAAUGCCCUGAAAAGGACUAGGGAGGGCUGGACUUGGACAGAAACAGCUACACCCCCUCACACCUCCCCUGCCCUUUCUUGCCUCAGCACGCUCCCAUGAGUCUUCUGCCUUUCACCAGCGAUCAUCUGAUCCAGACCUACAGGAAGGCUUCCACUUGCAAAUAGAUGAACUACACUAACUUGUAACAGCAGAUUGAGUAAAGAGUCACAUACCUG
RNAcentral lists this long non-coding RNA (1864 nucleotides) under Gallus gallus (chicken). Its description in RNAcentral is "lncRNA (ENSGALG00010003505.1)". Lineage: Eukaryota; Metazoa; Chordata; Aves; Galliformes; Phasianidae. The record is from RNAcentral.